This 250-nucleotide unclassified non-coding RNA is filed under the name plant metagenome. RNAcentral's name for it is "partial contains small subunit ribosomal RNA, internal transcribed spacer 1, and 5.8S ribosomal RNA". The record is from RNAcentral.
GUAGGUGAACCUGCGGAAGGAUCAUUAACACGUUUAACAACAAUUCAAACCAAACCCUGUGCACUGAGGUGAGGCCUCUGCCAAUGUUUCUCAGUUUUGUGCCCGAUCUUGUUCUGCAAGAGAGGGAGAUGAUUCUGAGGGGCUUGUCAUGCUUCACCGCUUUUAAUUAACCGAUCUAACCUUUGCCCAAACUUGUAAGUUUGACCAAAGGCAUACCAUAUCUUUAAACCUUAUGUGCAGCUGUGUUCAA